GCGAGAGUGGCGGAACUGGUAGACGCACCAGACUUAGGAUCUGGCGGCCUGGCUGUGGGGGUUCGACUCCCCCCUCUCGCACCA
RNAcentral lists this transfer RNA (84 nucleotides) under Desulfonatronum sp. Its description in RNAcentral is "tRNA-Leu". It matches the Rfam family "tRNA". Rfam says of the family: Transfer RNA (tRNA) molecules are approximately 80 nucleotides in length. Their secondary structure includes four short double-helical elements and three loops (D, anti-codon, and T loops). Lineage: Bacteria; Pseudomonadati; Thermodesulfobacteriota; Desulfovibrionia; Desulfovibrionales; Desulfonatronaceae. The record is from RNAcentral.